CCGCCCACCUCAGCCUCCUAAAAUGCUGAGAUUACAGGCAUGAGCCACCCUGCCCAGCCUGGCCUGGUUCUUUUACAAAACAUUCUAGAUGUUUAUGACUCACGUGUCUUUGGUACAAAAGAGGGGUGGGGGAAACAGGGUGUGUCCGGAAUUGGUGGGUUCUUGCUCUCACUGACUUCAAGAAUGAAGCCGCAGACCCUCACGUACCUAACCAUGUGCAAGAGCUUCCACAUACAUGACCUCAUCAUAUCAAGAGUUCUUCAAUGAUACGACUUUCAUUCCUGUGCCAAGUCAAAGAGUUUCAGACAAAGUCAAGAGACCCUCUUGCUUCUACCUGUGGCUCUAAGACAACCUUGAUUCAAACCUUGGUCACCGUGUGCUGAACCCCCAGGUGCCAGACUGGAACGGAGAUGUUUGGUUAGGACAACUUAUAUGGAGAACUUGGAGAGGCGCUGCACUUUACCAUUCAACAUCAGAACACCACCACUGCCACUCUAAGAAAUGGAAGGUCAUGCCUCGUUGAACCUUCCUUUUUGUUCAAGAAGACUAGAAAGGUAUCAUCGCUGCGAUUCUACCUGUAAAAGAACACCUUGAGAAGACGCCAUUCAUCACUCUGUCUGGGGGGGUUAGUUGCUUCUAAGCCAGCUAUCUCGAUGAGAGUUUGAAGAUCUACAUUGAAAUCUUUUACCUAAGAAACUUAGUCCUUACCCAUAAACCCAGGAGAAGAGGGGGAGCACGCAUCAGAGCUAGUAAAUAUAGAAAAAGUCAAACAUUCCUCAUCAAGGCCUCGGAAGAAACCAAAGAAACCAAAAAAACACCAAGGGAGAAAAUGUCCACUGAAACACGUGCCUGCCUGGGUGUGAGGAUAUCCUAUGACAGUCACUGUCGCUCAGGCAGCUGCCAGGCUGUUGCAGGACCCAGGUGGAAGAGAGAGGGAGGAGCUACGCCUUUGACUGAAUUUGGAACCUUUCAUUAUUACAAUUUCUGAAUUGAGAC
RNAcentral lists this long non-coding RNA (996 nucleotides) under Homo sapiens (human). Its description in RNAcentral is "HSALNT0298893". The record is from RNAcentral. Lineage: Eukaryota; Metazoa; Chordata; Mammalia; Primates; Hominidae.